This 105-nucleotide ribosomal RNA is filed under the name Erysipelotrichaceae bacterium. The record is from RNAcentral. Lineage: Bacteria; Bacillati; Bacillota; Erysipelotrichia; Erysipelotrichales; Erysipelotrichaceae.
UCUGGUGGCGAUAGCGCAGUGGACACACCUGUUCCCAUACCGAACACAGAAGUUAAGCACUGUAGUGGCGAAAAUACCGAGAGGGAAGAUAGCGAGCUGCCGGGC